GGAGCAGUGGCGGAAAUGGCAGACGCUUCGCGGGUAAAUUGAUACAUGCAGGUUCGACUCCUGCCUGCUCCA
This 72-nucleotide transfer RNA is filed under the name Prevotella sp. RNAcentral describes it as "tRNA-Tyr". It matches the Rfam family "tRNA". From Rfam's summary of the family: Transfer RNA (tRNA) molecules are approximately 80 nucleotides in length. The record is from RNAcentral. Lineage: Bacteria; Pseudomonadati; Bacteroidota; Bacteroidia; Bacteroidales; Prevotellaceae.